GCAAAUGAUCCGCUUUACAAAUAUCCGCAAGGCUUGGAAGGCAGGCUUAGGCUGCUAAAACAGCCAUCUCUUCCUCCAAUACCUGAAGAGGGACACGCUUCGACAAGGCGGAACGUGUUGGAUGCGCAGUUAAGAAAUCAACUUUUUGCUGGAAGCGGAAUUCCGCCUAUUACUGGGUUCGCUCAUCACCGGCCACACCAUCCUCGAGUACCAGACUACGAUCGCAGAUUCGGGCCUCGCGUUGCCCUCAAUCUUGCCUAUUUCCGACUAAGAAAUCGCGAACGUGGUACGUAUCGUGCAUUCACUUCGACCUGCCAUAUGGCAAUAUCUC
This is a long non-coding RNA of Rhipicephalus sanguineus (brown dog tick), 331 nucleotides long. RefSeq lists it as uncharacterized. Lineage: Eukaryota; Metazoa; Arthropoda; Arachnida; Ixodida; Ixodidae. The transcript is spliced from 4 exons. The record is from RefSeq and is a predicted model, not a curated record.